UGGGGAAUAUUGCACAAUGGGCGAAAGCCUGAUGCAGCAACGCCGCGUGAGUGAUGAAGGCCUUCGGGUUGUAAAGCUCUGUCUUUUGGGACGAUAAUGACGGUACCAAAGGAGGAAGCCACGGCUAACUACGUGCCAGCAGCCGCGGUAAUACGUAGGUGGCAAGCGUUGUCCGGAUUUACUGGGCGUAAAGGAUGCGUAGGCGGAUUUUUAAGUGAGAUGUGAAAACCCUAGCUAACUUGGGACUGCAUUUCAUACUGGAAAUCUAGAGUGCGGGAGAGGAGAAUGGAAUUCCUAGUGUAGCGGUGAAAUGCGUAGAGAUUAGGAAGAACACCAGUGGCGAAGGCGAUUCUCUGGACCGUAACUGACGCUGAGGCAUGAAAGCGUGGGUAGCAAACAGGAUUAGAUACCCUGGUAGUCCACGCCGUAAACGAUGAGUACUAGGUGUAGGAGGUAUCGACCCCUUCUGUGCCGCAGUUAACACAAUAAGUACUCCGCCUGGGAAGUA
This 508-nucleotide ribosomal RNA is filed under the name uncultured bacterium. RNAcentral's name for it is "partial 16S ribosomal RNA". It matches the Rfam family "Bacterial small subunit ribosomal RNA", at positions 355 to 882 of the family's 1533-position model. The record is from RNAcentral.